Canis lupus familiaris (dog) is the source of this 651-nucleotide long non-coding RNA. RefSeq lists it as uncharacterized. The transcript is spliced from 5 exons. NCBI's taxonomy places the organism in Eukaryota, Metazoa, Chordata, Mammalia, Carnivora, Canidae. The record is from RefSeq and is a predicted model, not a curated record.
CGGGGAACUUGGAAUGUUUGUUGGGGUCAGUGAAGAAAGACCUUGAACACCCAGAAUGAUUUAAGGUAUCAGAAUGAAGGGUCAUGGAUCAGAUUUGGAAGAAAUUGAUGAUAUGGAAGAAAAACUAAAAGGAUAUGAGCUUUGGGAGAACAGGGUCUUUGAGCAGUGAAGACUGGAAAGCUAAGAAAGACCUCACAUUAUGUUUUGUCUCAACAUUUUUAAGGUCCAGUAGAAUUGGAUGUGAGUUCUAUGAAUAGUUGUAUGUAUUGGCACAGUGUUUCUAACUGGAGAGGAAAAAGAAGUUUGUUUAUUUGUUCAUGAAGUGUGAGAGAGUAGAAAGGCAAAGAUGAACUACCAUCUGUCUUUGCCCUUGGAUGGAUCUACUUCCUCUCUUUCACUUUUUUGAGACAAGUCAGACAUGAAGUCUCUUCCCCCUCUCUUUGAUCUGUGCUGGUCCUGUGAUCUGCUAUGACCAGUGGAAUGCAACAGAUGUGACAUUGUGUGACUUCUGACCUUAAAUGAUGCUACAUAUGACAUAUCUCCUUUAACUGCAAUAGCCAAGAUAUGGAAGCAACCUCAACGUUCAUCAAUAGAUAAAUGGAUAAAGAAGAUAUAUGUGAUAAUAUACGUACAAUGGAAUAAUACUCAGCC